AACGCUGGCGGUGUGCUUAACACAUGCAAGUCGAACGGGCAAGAGCUGUAGCAAUACAGAAUCUGCUAGUGGCAGACGGGUGAGUAAUACAUGGGAAUCUACCGUGCAGUGCGAAAUAACAGUUGGAAGCAAUUGCUAAUGUCGCAUAUAGCCGAGAGGUGAAAGAUUUAUCGCUGCAAGACGAACCCAUGCAGGAUUAGCUAGUUGGUGGGGUAAUGGCUCACCAAGGCAACGAUCUUUAGUUGGUCUGAGAGGAUGAUCAGCCACACUGGAACUGAGACACGGUCCAGACUCCUACGGGAGGCGGCAGUGGGGAAUAUUGGACAAUGGGCGCAAGCCUGAUCCAGCGACGCCGCGUGAGUGAAGAAGGCCUUCGGGUUGUAAAGCUCUUUUAGUGGGGAAGAUAAUGACGGUACCCACAGAGAAAGCCCCGGCUAACUUCGUGCCAGCAGCCGCGGUAAUACGAAGGGGGCUAGCGUUACUCGGAAUUAU
This 492-nucleotide ribosomal RNA is filed under the name uncultured Rickettsiales bacterium. RNAcentral's name for it is "bacterial SSU rRNA". It matches the Rfam family "Bacterial small subunit ribosomal RNA", at positions 32 to 554 of the family's 1533-position model. Lineage: Bacteria; Pseudomonadati; Pseudomonadota; Alphaproteobacteria; Rickettsiales. The record is from RNAcentral.